CGGAUGCUCAACCAUCUUAGUGACAUGUCACUUGUAUCCUAAUCUAUUCCUAAGGUUCAAACGGGAUUUUCCUCGAACACAUAUCCUUGCCAUCUUUCGUAAAAUACCGAAACCAAUACUCGGUAGCACUUUAUAUUUAACAGAUAAUACACAUAACUUGCAUUUUAUUCGAAAAUAACCACAAAGCAUAUAUUUCAUGAU
This 201-nucleotide long non-coding RNA is filed under the name Gossypium barbadense (sea-island cotton). Its description in RNAcentral is "long non-coding RNA (GBAR_LNC004027)". Lineage: Eukaryota; Viridiplantae; Streptophyta; Magnoliopsida; Malvales; Malvaceae. The record is from RNAcentral.